CCCCAUUAUAACCAUCGGCAUAAACACAUCACUGCCUGCAGACCUAGUCAUGUCCAACCUCUCCUUCAUCGGCAACCAUCUUCAUCGGCAAUUCAUCCUGUAAACAACACACUGCCACCUUAUCCUGCCAUUCUGGACGCGUGUCCAAAAACGGUGUCAACAGGAGCAUGAUCCGCGAAGUUGAAGCUGAUUGGUUACUGUAGCUGGGCGGGCACCCAAGGGACUUGGGCGGGCGCCCUGCCCCCGGGCC
This 250-nucleotide long non-coding RNA is filed under the name Sorghum bicolor (sorghum). RNAcentral's name for it is "long non-coding RNA (SBIC_LNC000722)". The record is from RNAcentral. Lineage: Eukaryota; Viridiplantae; Streptophyta; Magnoliopsida; Poales; Poaceae.